GAUGAACGCUGGCGGCGUGCCUAAUACAUGCAAGUCGAGCGAACAGACAAGGAGCUUGCUCCUUUGACGUUAGCGGCGGACGGGUGAGUAACACGUGGGUAACCUACCUAUAAGACUGGGAUAACUUCGGGAAACCGGAGCUAAUACCGGAUAAUAUUUCGAACCGCAUGGUUCGAUAGUGAAAGAUGGUUUUGCUAUCACUUAUAGAUGGACCCGCGCCGUAUUAGCUAGUUGGUAAGGUAACGGCUUACCAAGGCGACGAUACGUAGCCGACCUGAGAGGGUGAUUGGCCACACUGGAACUGAGACACGGUCCAGACUCCUACGGGAGGCAGCAGUAGGGAAUCUUCCGCAAUGGGCGAAAGCCUGACGGAGCAACGCCGCGUGAGUGAUGAAGGUCUUCGGAUUGUAAAACUCUGUUAUUAGGGAAGAACAUACGUGUAAGUAACUAUGCACGUCUUGACGGUACCUAAUCAGAAAGCCACGGCUAACUACGUGCCAGCAGCCGCGGUAAUACGUAGGUGGCAAGCGUUAUCCGGAAUUAUUGGGCGUAAAGCGCGCGUAGGCGGUUUUUUAAGUCUGAUGUGAAAGCCCACGGCUCAACCGUGGAGGGUCAUUGGAAACUGGAAAACUUGAGUGCAGAAGAGGAAAGUGGAAUUCCAUGUGUAGCGGUGAAAUGCGCAGAGAUAUGGAGGAACACCAGUGGCGAAGGCGACUUUCUGGUCUGUAACUGACGCUGAUGUGCGAAAGCGUGGGGAUCAAACAGGAUUAGAUACCCUGGUAGUCCACGCCGUAAACGAUGAGUGCUAAGUGUUAGGGGGUUUCCGCCCCUUAGUGCUGCAGCUAACGCAUUAAGCACUCCGCCUGGGGAGUACGACCGCAAGGUUGAAACUCAAAGGAAUUGACGGGGACCCGCACAAGCGGUGGAGCAUGUGGUUUAAUUCGAAGCAACGCGAAGAACCUUACCAAAUCUUGACAUCCUUUGACAACUCUAGAGAUAGAGCCUUCCCCUUCGGGGGACAAAGUGACAGGUGGUGCAUGGUUGUCGUCAGCUCGUGUCGCGAGAUGUUGGGUUAAGUCCCGCAACGAGCGCAACCCUUAAGCUUAGUUGCCAUCAUUAAGUUGGGCACUCUAAGUUGACUGCCGGUGACAAACCGGAGGAAGGUGGGGAUGACGUCAAAUCAUCAUGCCCCUUAUGAUUUGGGCUACACACGUGCUACAAUGGACAAUACAAAGGGCAGCGAAACCGCGAGGUCAAGCAAAUCCCAUAAAGUUGUUCUCAGUUCGGAUUGUAGUCUGCAACUCGACUACAUGAAGCUGGAAUCGCUAGUAAUCGUAGAUCAGCAUGCUACGGUGAAUACGUUCCCGGGUCU
Molecule: ribosomal RNA, 1372 nt
Filed under: uncultured bacterium
Lineage: Bacteria
Description: bacterial SSU rRNA
Rfam family: Bacterial small subunit ribosomal RNA
Source: RNAcentral